RNAcentral lists this ribosomal RNA (231 nucleotides) under uncultured bacterium. RNAcentral describes it as "partial 16S ribosomal RNA". It matches the Rfam family "Bacterial small subunit ribosomal RNA", at positions 104 to 334 of the family's 1533-position model. The record is from RNAcentral.
CGGGGUGGAGGUAAUGCUUGGGAAUCUAGCUUAUGAGGGGGAGUAACUACGGGAAACUGUAGCUAAUACCGCGUAAUAUCGAAAGAUUAAAGUGUGGGACCUUCGGGCCACAUGCCAUAGGAUGAGCCCAAGUGGGAUUAGGUAGUUGGUGAGGUAAAGGCUCACCAAGCCGACGAUCUCUAGCUGGUCUGAGAGGAUGACCAGCCACACUGGGACUGAGACACGGCCCAG